Molecule: ribosomal RNA, 500 nt
Filed under: uncultured bacterium
Lineage: Bacteria
Description: partial 16S ribosomal RNA
Rfam family: Bacterial small subunit ribosomal RNA
Source: RNAcentral
AUUGAACGCUGGCGGAAUGCUUUACACAUGCAAGUCGAACGGCAGCACGGACUUCGGUCUGGUGGCGAGUGGCGAACGGGUGAGUAAUGUAUCGGAACGUGCCCAGUCGUGGGGGAUAACGUAGUGAAAAUUGCGCUAAUACCGCAUACGAUCUAUGAAUGGAAGCGGGGGAUCGCAAGACCUCGCGCGAUUGGAGCGGCCGAUAUCAGAUUAGGUAGUUGGUGGGGUAAAGGCCCACCAAGCCAACGAUCUGUAGCUGGUCUGAGAGGACGACCAGCCACACUGGAACUGAGACACGGUCCAGACUCCUACGGGAGGCAGCAGUGGGGAAUUUUGGACAAUGGGCGAAAGCCUGAUCCAGCCAUUCCGCGUGCAGGAUGAAGGCCCUCGGGUUGUAAACUGCUUUUGUACAGAACGAAAAGGUUUCUACUAAUACUAGGAGCUCAUGACGGUACUGUAAGAAUAAGCACCGGCUAACUACGUGCCAGCAGCCGCGGUAA